AGGAAUAUUGGGCAAUGGACGAAAGUCUGACCCAGCCAUGCCGCGUGCAGGAAGACGGCCCUAUGGGUUGUAAACUGCUUUUAUAUAGGAAGAAACCCAUCUACGU
RNAcentral lists this ribosomal RNA (106 nucleotides) under uncultured bacterium. RNAcentral's name for it is "partial 16S ribosomal RNA". It matches the Rfam family "Bacterial small subunit ribosomal RNA", at positions 357 to 461 of the family's 1533-position model. The record is from RNAcentral.